Molecule: unclassified non-coding RNA, 348 nt
Filed under: Hevea brasiliensis (rubber tree)
Lineage: Eukaryota; Viridiplantae; Streptophyta; Magnoliopsida; Malpighiales; Euphorbiaceae
Source: RNAcentral
UCCAGGAAUUGAAUCCAGGGAUUCCGGUUGAUCAACAGCCUCCUACUCGAUAGUUAUAUCUAUCUUGUUUCGCCGAGUAUAAAUUCUCAAAUCUGAUCUAAUCAGUCUCCCUCGAGAUUUAGGUAACUCCCCCUGAGUAUCAUUGUUAGGUAUAGAUUCUAAACCCAGAUUCUCCCUCUAAAGUUGAAGAUUGGGAGAGGACAAAGAUGAAGGGUAAGACACCUCUUUCUUUCGAUGCUCCCCCUGAAAAGGUAGAUGUAAAUAAGAUUUAGAUUUCCUGAAGGUAACAUCCAUGCUCAUAACAUAUUUCCAUGUAGGAGGGUAGUAACACCUAUACCCCUUCUGAGU